This 253-nucleotide ribosomal RNA is filed under the name uncultured bacterium. Its description in RNAcentral is "partial 16S ribosomal RNA". It matches the Rfam family "Bacterial small subunit ribosomal RNA", at positions 524 to 776 of the family's 1533-position model. The record is from RNAcentral.
UACAGAGGUCUCAAGCGUUGUUCGGAUUCAUUGGGCGUAAAGGGUGCGUAGGCGGCGCGGUAAGUCGGGUGUGAAAUCUCGGAGCUUAACUCCGAAACUGCAUUCGAUACUGCCGUGCUUGAGGACUGGAGAGGAGACUGGAAUUCCUGGUGUAGCGGUGAAAUGCGCAGAUAUCAGGAGGAACACCGAUGGCGAAGGCAGAUCUCUGGGCCGUAACUGACGCUGAGGUGCGAAAGCGUGGGGAGCAAACAGG